Molecule: ribosomal RNA, 774 nt
Filed under: uncultured fungus
Lineage: Eukaryota; Fungi
Description: eukaryotic LSU rRNA
Rfam family: Eukaryotic large subunit ribosomal RNA
Source: RNAcentral
GAACUUAAGCAUAUCAAUAAGCGGAGGAAAAGAAACCAACAGGGAUUGCCUCAGUAACGGCGAGUGAAGCGGCAACAGCUCAAAUUUGAAAUCUGGCUCUUUUAGGGUCCGAGUUGUAAUUUGUAGAAGAUGCUUUGGGUGUGGCUCCGGUCUAAGUUCCUUGGAACAGGACGUCAUAGAGGGUGAGAAUCCCGUACGUGACUGGGUGCCUUCGCUCGUGUAAAGCUCUUUCAACGAGUCGAGUUGUUUGGGAAUGCAGCUCAAAAUGGGUGGUAAAUUUCAUCUAAAGCUAAAUAUUGGCCAGAGACCGAUAGCGUACAAGUAGAGUGAUCGAAAGAUGAAAAGCACUUUGGAAAGAGAGUUAAACAGUACGUGAAAUUGUUGAAAGGGAAGCGCUUGCAACCAGACUUGCACGUGGGUAAUCAUCUGGGGUUCUCCCCAGUGCACUUGCUCACGUUCAGGCCAACAUCGGUUUGAGUGGUUGGAUAAAGGCCUUGGGAAUGUAGCUUCUUUCGGGGAGUGUUAUAGCCCUCGGUGCAAUGCAGCCUACUCGGACCGAGGACCGCGCUUCGGCUAGGAUGCUGGCGUAAUGGUUGUAAGCGACCCGUCUUGAAACACGGACCAAGGAGUCUAACAUCUAUGCGAGUGUUUGGGUGUCAAACCCAUACGCGUAAUGAAAGUGAACGGAGGUGAGAACCCUUAAGGGUGCAUCAUCGACCGAUCCUGAUGUCUUCGGAUGGAUUUGAGUAAGAGCAUAGCUGUUGGGACCCGAAA